This 707-nucleotide ribosomal RNA is filed under the name fungal sp. Its description in RNAcentral is "eukaryotic LSU rRNA". The stretch from base 190 to 343 matches the Rfam family "5.8S ribosomal RNA". Lineage: Eukaryota; Fungi. The record is from RNAcentral.
UUACCGAGUGCGGGUCCUUUGGGCCCAACCUCCCAUCCGUGUCUAUUAUACCCUGUUGCUUCGGCGGGCCCGCCGCUUGUCGGCCGCCGGGGGGGCGCCUUUGCCCCCCGGGCCCGUGCCCGCCGGAGACCCCAACACGAACACUGUCUGAAAGCGUGCAGUCUGAGUUGAUUGAAUGCAAUCAGUUAAAACUUUCAACAAUGGAUCUCUUGGUUCCGGCAUCGAUGAAGAACGCAGCGAAAUGCGAUAACUAAUGUGAAUUGCAGAAUUCAGUGAAUCAUCGAGUCUUUGAACGCACAUUGCGCCCCCUGGUAUUCCGGGGGGCAUGCCUGUCCGAGCGUCAUUGCUGCCCUCAAGCCCGGCUUGUGUGUUGGGUCGCCGUCCCCCUCUCCGGGGGGACGGGCCCGAAAGGCAGCGGCGGCACCGCGUCCGAUCCUCGAGCGUAUGGGGCUUUGUCACAUGCUCUGUAGGAUUGGCCGGCGCCUGCCGACGUUUUCCAACCAUUUUUUCCAGGUUGACCUCGGAUCAGGUAGGGAUACCCGCUGAACUUAAGCAUAUCAAUAAGCGGAGGAAAAGAAACCAACCGGGAUUGCCUCAGUAACGGCGAGUGAAGCGGCAAGAGCUCAAAUUUGAAAGCUGGCUCCUUCGGAGUCCGCAUUGUAAUUUGCAGAGGAUGCUUUGGGUGCGGCCCCCGUCUAAGUGCCCUG